This 355-nucleotide unclassified non-coding RNA is filed under the name uncultured Stropharia. RNAcentral's name for it is "partial contains 5.8S ribosomal RNA, internal transcribed spacer 2, and large subunit ribosomal RNA". The stretch from base 1 to 102 matches the Rfam family "5.8S ribosomal RNA", at positions 53 to 154 of the family's 154-position model. The record is from RNAcentral. Lineage: Eukaryota; Fungi; Basidiomycota; Agaricomycetes; Agaricales; Strophariaceae.
AUGCGAUAAGUAAUGUGAAUUGCAGAAUUCAGUGAAUCAUCGAAUCUUUGAACGCACCUUGCGCUCCUUGGUAUUCCGAGGAGCAUGCCUGUUUGAGUGUCAUUAAAUUCUCAACCUUUUAUUAGCCUUUUGGUUAAUAAAUGGCUUGGAUGUGGGAGUUUGCCGGUUUCUCUUAUGAAAUCAGCUCUCCUCAAAUGCAUUAGCUGGUUGCCUUGUGUAAACUAGUCUAUUGGUGUGAUAAUUAUCUACGCUGUGGACUGUUUGCCGCCUUUAGCACUGCUUCUAAUCGUCUAUUGACUUGGACAAUUUAUGACAAUUUGACCUCAAAUCAGGUAGGACUACCCGCUGAACUUAA